Molecule: transfer RNA, 72 nt
Filed under: Camelus bactrianus (Bactrian camel)
Lineage: Eukaryota; Metazoa; Chordata; Mammalia; Artiodactyla; Camelidae
Also listed under: 2 other names
Rfam family: tRNA
About the family: Transfer RNA (tRNA) molecules are approximately 80 nucleotides in length. Their secondary structure includes four short double-helical elements and three loops (D, anti-codon, and T loops).
Source: Rfam by way of RNAcentral
GUGGGUAUAGCUCAGUGGUAGGGCACAUGCUUAGCAUGCACAAGGUCCUGAGUUCAAUCCUCAGUACCUCCA